RNAcentral lists this transfer RNA (72 nucleotides) under Ovis aries (sheep). It matches the Rfam family "tRNA". Rfam says of the family: Transfer RNA (tRNA) molecules are approximately 80 nucleotides in length. The record is from Rfam by way of RNAcentral. Lineage: Eukaryota; Metazoa; Chordata; Mammalia; Artiodactyla; Bovidae.
UCCCUGGUGGCUUAGACGGUAAAGCGUGUGUCUGCAAUACAGGAGACCUGGGCUUGAUCCCUGGUUUGGGAA